GCCUGGGUGGCUCAGUCGGUUGAGCAUCUGACUUUGGCUCAGGUCAUGAUCUCAUGGUCUGUGAGUUCGAGUACCACAUCAGGCU
RNAcentral lists this transfer RNA (85 nucleotides) under Felis catus (domestic cat). It matches the Rfam family "tRNA". Rfam says of the family: Transfer RNA (tRNA) molecules are approximately 80 nucleotides in length. Their secondary structure includes four short double-helical elements and three loops (D, anti-codon, and T loops). Lineage: Eukaryota; Metazoa; Chordata; Mammalia; Carnivora; Felidae. The record is from Rfam by way of RNAcentral.